UUUCGAGAGCAAUUACAUAACCGUAUUUAGAAUUUUUGCAGUUUGAAAUACAAGGUGGGGUUUUCCAAUCUUGACAAUCCUUGACAGUCAAUGGACGGGGGGGAGACCUCAAAACUGGGACAGGUCGAAAACUGGAUAGAUUCGGAAUCCACACAGUUACAUUGGGUUAAUUAUUCCUCUCAAUAUCAUUAUGGCUUUCAAAUGAUACAUAGGGUGGAGAUUGAAAAAUGGCAAAAUCCCACAAAAGCUUAUUCAACAUAACAUUUUCUGGUAAACUCUGCCAGAAAAAGCAGCUGCAAUUACUUAACAAUCGUUUUGUUUGCGGGAUUGGUACAAACAAUAUGACACAGGCAUUGGCUGCUCGCUGGUCUGGCAUCACUGCAUGAACAUUUUUGAGGCAUUGCACUUGCUGGAAACCGUCUCAGCGCUUCAUCAAAACAUCUGGGAUUCCCUUCAUAUCCACAUACAGCUUUAACUGGGAAACCGAAAGUUGUCGGGCAAAGCUUGGGUUGCUGGCCUGAAAUGGAAGAAUAAAACACAAAUCCAAGAUAGUUAAAAUAUUAGUUCAUAUACAAGAAAUAUUUGGGGAUAUAUAUGUUAUUAAUCUUCUUGUUGACACACCUCACUAACUGCUUGGUCUUCGAAAGAAAUAAAAAAAAAAAAAAUUGGUGAGGAAUUCCACUGAUUAAUAAAGAAAUGAGCAUUACAACAACUUCCUCAGUGUAAUAUUUGGAAAAAAAAAAAGGGUAAUGAAUGUAAGCCGAUGAGAAAUGGAAGAUAACAAGGGUGGCUGAUAAAUAAAACACCACUUAGCUUUCUAGUUCUCACCUGUAGAAGGGGCCAUAAAGAGACUCAAGACAAGCGACACAAAAAGAAGGGGAAACACAAUUGAGUUCUUCAUCAUGCUUCUUGUUUGGACUUUGCACAGAAUUAGCUUUUGUAUCAAUCUGAACUAGCCAAUGCUCACUAGUAGUUGUGUCACCUUUUUAUAGUGCUACUAAGUGCUAACACGGGCAAG
Molecule: long non-coding RNA, 1018 nt
Filed under: Coffea arabica (coffee)
Lineage: Eukaryota; Viridiplantae; Streptophyta; Magnoliopsida; Gentianales; Rubiaceae
Description: long non-coding RNA (CARA_LNC007071)
Source: RNAcentral